RNAcentral lists this transfer RNA (71 nucleotides) under Phrynosoma platyrhinos (Desert horned lizard). Its description in RNAcentral is "tRNA-OTHER". Lineage: Eukaryota; Metazoa; Chordata; Lepidosauria; Squamata; Phrynosomatidae. The record is from RNAcentral.
UCCAGUGUGGCAUAGUGGUUUGAGUGUUGGACUACAACUCUGGAGACCAGGGUUUGAAUCCUGGUUUGGUC